AACGCGAAGAACCUUACCUGGUCUUGACAUCCACAGAACUUUCCAGAGAUGGAUUGGUGCCUUCGGGAACUGUGAGACAGGUGCUGCAUGGCUGUCGUCAGCUCGUGUUGUGAAAUGUUGGGUUAAGUCCCGCAACGAGCGCAACCCUUAUCCUUUGUUGCCAGCGGUUAGGCCGGGAACUCAAAGGAGACUGCCAGUGAUAAACUGGAGGAAGGUGGGGAUGACGUCAAGUCAUCAUGGCCCUUACGACCAGGGCUACACACGUGCUACAAUGGCAUAUACAAAGAGAAGCGACCUCGCGAGAGCAAGCGGACCUCAUAAAGUAUGUCGUAGUCCGGAUUGGAGUCUGCAACUCGACUCCAUGAAGUCGGAAUCGCUAGUAAUCGUAGAUCAGAAUGCUACGGUGAAUACGUUCCCGGGUCUUGUACACACCG
Molecule: ribosomal RNA, 434 nt
Filed under: uncultured bacterium
Lineage: Bacteria
Description: bacterial SSU rRNA
Rfam family: Bacterial small subunit ribosomal RNA
Source: RNAcentral